AGAGUUUGAUCCUGGCUCAGAUUGAACGCUGGCGGCAUGCUUUACACAUGCAAGUCGAACGGCAGCACGGGUGCUUGCACCUGGUGGCGAGUGGCGGACGGGUGAGUAAUACAUCGGAACGUGUCCUGAAGUGGGGGAUAACGCAUCGAAAGAUGUGCUAAUACCGCAUAUACUCUGAGGAGUAAAGUAGGGGAUCGAAAGACCUUAUGCUUUUGGAGCGGCCGAUGUCUGAUUAGCUAGUUGGUGGGGUAAUUGCCUACCAAGGCGACGAUCAGUAGUUGGUCUGAGAGGACGGCCAGCCACACUGGGACUGGGACACGGCCCAGACUCCUACGGGAGGCAGCAGUGGGGAAUUUUGGACAAUGGGCGCAAGCCUGAUCCAGCAAUGCCGCGUGAGUGAAGAAGGCCUUCGGGUUGUAAAGCUCUUUCAGUUGAGAAGAAAAGAUUGUAACUAAUAAUUACAGUUCAUGACGGUAUCAACAGAAGAAGCACCGGCUAACUACGUGCCAGCAGCCGCGGUAAUACGUAGGGUGCGAGCGUUAAUCGGAAUUACUGGGCGUAAAGGGUGCGCAGGCGGUUCUGUAAGUCAGAUGUGAAAUCCCCGGGCUUAACCUGGGAACUGCGUUUGAAACUACAGAGCUAGAGUGUGGCAGAGGGGGGUGGAAUUCCAUGUGUAGCAGUGAAAUGCGUAGAGAUAUGGAAGAACAUCGAUGGCGAAGGCAGCCCCCUGGGUUAACACUGACGCUCAUGCACGAAAGCGUGGGGAGCAAACAGGAUUAGAUACCCUGGUAGUCCAA
RNAcentral lists this ribosomal RNA (797 nucleotides) under uncultured bacterium. Its description in RNAcentral is "bacterial SSU rRNA". It matches the Rfam family "Bacterial small subunit ribosomal RNA", at positions 8 to 798 of the family's 1533-position model. The record is from RNAcentral.